GACGAACGCUGGCGGCGUGCUUAACACAUGCAAGUCGAACGGUAAGGCCCUUCGGGGUACACGAGUGGCGAACGGGUGAGUAACACGUGGGUGAUCUGCCCUGCACUUCGGGAUAAGCCUGGGAAACUGGGUCUAAGACCGGAUAGGACCACUGCCUGCAUGGGUGGUGGUGGAAAGCUUUUGCGGUGUUGGAUGGGCCCGCGGCUUAUUAGCUUGUUGGGGGGGUUGUGGCCUACCAAGGGGACGACGGGUAGCAGGCCUGGGAGGGUGCCCGGCCACACGGGGACUGAGAUAGGGCCUAGACUCCUACGGGAGGCAGCAGGGGGGAAUAUUGCACAAUGGGCGCAAGCCUGAUGCAGCGACGCCGCGUGAGGGAUGACGGCCUUCGGGUUGUAAACCUCUUUCAGCACCGACGAAGCGCAAGUGACGGUAGGUGCAGAAGAAGGACCGGCCAACUACGUGCCAGCCGCCGCCGUAA
Molecule: ribosomal RNA, 478 nt
Filed under: uncultured bacterium
Lineage: Bacteria
Description: partial 16S ribosomal RNA
Rfam family: Bacterial small subunit ribosomal RNA
Source: RNAcentral